AUAUUUACCUGGCAGGGGAGAUACUAUGAUCAUGAAGGUGGUUUUCCCAGGGCGAGGCUUAUCCAUUGUACUCCAGAUGUGCUGACCCCUGCGAUUUCCCCAAAAAGAAAAAAAAAAGAUUUAUUUUAUUUUAACUGUAUGAGUGCUUGUUUACCUGCAUA
Molecule: small nuclear RNA, 161 nt
Organism: Onychomys torridus (southern grasshopper mouse)
Lineage: Eukaryota; Metazoa; Chordata; Mammalia; Rodentia; Cricetidae
Product: U1 spliceosomal RNA
Exons: 1
Source: RefSeq, a predicted model, not a curated record